UAAAGAGGUCAUUAAUGAUGACUUGCCUGUUGUAGAGAUCCUGGAAUGCUGGUCUGCCCUAAAGAUGGAGUCACAGAUCUGUGCAAAGUUUCACAGAAUUACAAACAUCAACCUGAAAAACCACUUCUAUGCUGAGUUAGACAGACUUGUCUUGAGGGUUUGUUCAGGAAGAAAGCUGCACGCACAGGGAAGGUAUCUGAAGUCCUGAAUCAGCUCUUCAACACUUAUGACCUCCAGGAACAAGUUGACGUCCAACGUGCUGCUGUCCUCCGUGCUCUCCCUACAUAUCUGUAUGAGGAUGAC
This is a long non-coding RNA of Labrus mixtus (cuckoo wrasse), 303 nucleotides long. RefSeq lists it as uncharacterized. The transcript is spliced from 3 exons. The record is from RefSeq and is a predicted model, not a curated record. NCBI's taxonomy places the organism in Eukaryota, Metazoa, Chordata, Actinopteri, Labriformes, Labridae.